RNAcentral lists this ribosomal RNA (567 nucleotides) under uncultured bacterium. RNAcentral's name for it is "partial 16S ribosomal RNA". It matches the Rfam family "Bacterial small subunit ribosomal RNA", at positions 355 to 913 of the family's 1533-position model. The record is from RNAcentral.
UGGGGAAUUUUGGACAAUGGGCGAAAGCCUGAUCCAGCAAUGCCGCGUGUGUGAAGAAGGCCUUCGGGUUGUAAAGCACUUUUGUCCGGAAAGAAAUCCUUGGCUCUAAUACAGUCGGGGGAUGACGGUACCGGAAGAAUAAGCACCGGCUAACUACGUGCCAGCAGCCGCGGUAAUACGUAGGGUGCAAGCGUUAAUCGGAAUUACUGGGCGUAAAGCGUGCGCAGGCGGUUUGCUAAGACCGAUGUGAAAUCCCCGGGCUCAACCUGGGAACUGCAUUGGUGACUGGCAGGCUAGAGUAUGGCAGAGGGGGGUAGAAUUCCACGUGUAGCAGUGAAAUGCGUAGAGAUGUGGAGGAAUACCGAUGGCGAAGGCAGCCCCCUGGGCCAAUACUGACGCUCAUGCACGAAAGCGUGGGGAGCAAACAGGAUUAGAUACCCUGGUAGUCCACGCCCUAAAACGAUGUCGACUAGUUGUUGGGGGAUUCAUUUCCUUAGUAACGUAGCUAACGCGUGAAGUUGACCGCCUGGGGAGUACGGUCGCAAGAUUAAAACUCAAAGGAAUUGA